CACAAACGACUCUCGGCAACGGAUAUCUCGGCUCUCGCAUCGAUGAAGAACGUAGCGAAAUGCGAUACUUGGUGUGAAUUGCAGAAUCCCGUGAACCAUCGAGUCUUUGAACGCAAGUUGCGCCCAAAGCCNUUAGGCUGAGGGCACGCCUGCCUGGGCGUCACGCA
RNAcentral lists this ribosomal RNA (167 nucleotides) under Kallstroemia pennellii. Its description in RNAcentral is "5.8S ribosomal RNA". It matches the Rfam family "5.8S ribosomal RNA". From Rfam's summary of the family: 5.8S ribosomal RNA (5.8S rRNA) is a component of the large subunit of the eukaryotic ribosome. Lineage: Eukaryota; Viridiplantae; Streptophyta; Magnoliopsida; Zygophyllales; Zygophyllaceae. The record is from RNAcentral.